AAAAAAGCAGUGGCCUGUUGUAUUUAUCGAUAGGCCUCUCGUAAGCUUCAGGAAAAUCAUGUACAUUGUUAUUGGGUGAACCUUUGUUCUUUUCAAUGAUUGAAGGUUCAGUAAAUGAUGGUACAUUU
Dioscorea cayenensis subsp. rotundata (Guinea yam) is the source of this 128-nucleotide small nucleolar RNA. RefSeq annotates it as small nucleolar RNA snoR74. NCBI's taxonomy places the organism in Eukaryota, Viridiplantae, Streptophyta, Magnoliopsida, Dioscoreales, Dioscoreaceae. The record is from RefSeq and is a predicted model, not a curated record. The transcript has a single exon.